AUUUAUGUGAAAACGGAAUCGGCAAACGGGUGUGUAUAUCAUUUCGGCGAGAUGGUAUAAAAUGCGACCGAAUUAGAUCAACUGGCAUAGUUUACUUUGAAAGCAAACGAAACCAUCCAAAAUGUUCAAAUUCGUGUUAUUGUUCGUCGCUCUCUUCGCCCUCAGCAUGGCUGAACCCGAACCAGAAGCGAAACCCCAGUACUAUGGUGCCUAUCCCUACUCCUUGGGAUACAGCGCGUACAGCGGUUAUGCUGGUUAUCCUUAUCGUGGAGCUUACUCUGCCUACCCUUACGGAAGAUACUUCUACUAAGCUUGAAAAGUAAAUUUCAAAAAUGUUUGGCAUGUUUUGUAUAAAAUUUCUGUUUCUUAUGCAAUAAUAAAUAUUUCCCUUUUUACAAUUCACAA
This is a long non-coding RNA of Photinus pyralis (common eastern firefly), 405 nucleotides long. RefSeq lists it as uncharacterized. The transcript is spliced from 3 exons. Lineage: Eukaryota; Metazoa; Arthropoda; Insecta; Coleoptera; Lampyridae. The record is from RefSeq and is a predicted model, not a curated record.